AAGUGGUAGGAAGCCGAAGGUGACCGACCUUCGGGAGCUUGCACAGGUGCUGCAUGGCUGUCGUCAGCUCGUGUCGUGAGAUGUUCGUUAAGUCCGCUAACGAGCGCAACCCUCGCUGUGUGUUAUAUGUGUCACACGGGACUGCCGGUCUUAAGCCGGAGGAAGGUGGGGAUGAUGUCAAGUCAGCAUGGCCUUUAUAUCCUGGGCUACACACACGCUACAAUGGCCAACACAAUAGGUUGCUAAGCCGCGAGGUGGCGCCAAUCCAUAAAGUUGGUCUCAGUUCAGAUUGUAGGCUGCAACCCGCCUGCAUGAAGAUGGAGUUGCUAGUAACCGCAGGUCAGCUAUACUGCGGUGAAUACGUUCCCGGGGCUU
Molecule: ribosomal RNA, 375 nt
Filed under: uncultured Leptolinea sp.
Lineage: Bacteria; Bacillati; Chloroflexota; Anaerolineae; Anaerolineales; Anaerolineaceae
Description: bacterial SSU rRNA
Rfam family: Bacterial small subunit ribosomal RNA
Source: RNAcentral